AACUCCCCGUGAUAAGCGGGAGGAAGGUGUGGAUGACGUCAAGUCCUCAUGGCCCUUACGGGUUGGGCUACACACGUGCUACAAUGGCAGUGACAAUGGGUUAAUCCCAAAAAGCUGUCUCAGUUCGGAUUGGGGUCUGCAACUCGACCCCAUGAAGUCGGAAUCGCUAGUAAUCGCGUAACAGCAUGACGCGGCGAAUACGUUCCCGGGCCUUGUACACACCGCCCGUCACACCAUGGGAGUUGGGUCUACCCGACAGCCGUGCGCUAACUCUUCGGAGAGGCAGCGGACCACGGUAGGCUCAGCGACUGGGGUGAAGUCGUAACAAGGUAGCCGUAR
RNAcentral lists this ribosomal RNA (339 nucleotides) under uncultured Alphaproteobacteria bacterium. RNAcentral's name for it is "bacterial SSU rRNA". It matches the Rfam family "Bacterial small subunit ribosomal RNA", at positions 1147 to 1505 of the family's 1533-position model. The record is from RNAcentral. Lineage: Bacteria; Pseudomonadati; Pseudomonadota; Alphaproteobacteria.